GCCCUGGUUGCUCUGAUAGCAGUAGCCCUGGCAUGUUUUCUGCAUUUCAGGAAGACUGGCAGGGCAAGCGACCAGCGUGAUCUCACAGAGCACAAACCCUCAGUCUCCAACCACACCACAGGAGUCCCCUGAGACACAUCUGAGGAGAGAGGCUCACUCUGCCUAGGCCAGGCAGCCCUGAGGAAGAUCCCAUGUUUCCAGGAGCCAUUUCCUCAGCCUUACUCCUUCCGCCUCCUGCCUCUAUUACGGAUGUGGGCACUCUCCCUUGCUCAGGACCACUCCAAUGACCCACCUAACAAGAUGAAUGAAGUUACUUAUUCUACCCUGAACUUUGAAGCCCAGCAACCCACACAAUCAACUUCAGCCUCCCCAUCCCCAACAGCCACAGAAAUAAUUUAUUCAGAAGUAAAAAAGAAGUAAUGAAACCUG
Molecule: small RNA, 429 nt
Filed under: Pongo abelii (Sumatran orangutan)
Lineage: Eukaryota; Metazoa; Chordata; Mammalia; Primates; Hominidae
Description: processed transcript
Source: RNAcentral